Molecule: non-coding RNA, 847 nt
Organism: Phoenix dactylifera (date palm)
Lineage: Eukaryota; Viridiplantae; Streptophyta; Magnoliopsida; Arecales; Arecaceae
Source: RefSeq, a predicted model, not a curated record
UGUCAUGAGAAGAAACAAGGUAGAUAUGGCUGGUUCGGGCUAUCUCAAGCGCAUGGGAGCUCUACAAGCUAUGGUGAUCUUCGUACUUUGUUGCUUCUCAAGCUUAGCAAGAUCUGUGACCCAGACGAAGGAAGAGCUUUACAUUAACCAUAUCUCCGCCACCUCACAAGGAAUAGAAGAACUGAGACCUCUGCCUCCACACAUGAGAUUUCCGAUGCUGCCAAGAGGCAUACCUAUCCCUCCAUCCGGGCCUUCCAAAAGUAGCCCACCUGAGGGUCCACCCGCACGCAUAAGAUUUCCGAUGCUGCCAAGAGGCGUACCUAUCCCUCCAUCCGGGCCUUCCAAAGGUAGCCCACCUAAGGGUCCACCCGCACGCAUGAAAUUUCCGAUGCUACCAAGAGGCGUGCCCAUCCCUCCAUCCGGGCCUUCCAAAGGUAGCCCACCUGAGGGUCCACCCGCACGCAUGAGAUUUCCGAUGUUGCCAAGAGGCGUGCCCAUCCCUCCAUCCGGGCCUUUCAAAGGUAGCCCACCCGAAGGUCCACCCGCACGCAUGAGAUUUCCGAUGCUGCCAAGAGGCGUGCCCAUCCCUCCAUCCGGGCCUUCCAAAGGUAGCCCACCUAAGGGUCCACCCGCACGGGCCUUCCGCAAAUAGCCCAUCCGAGGGUCCUGAUCCCAUCGCCUUGGUGCGUGUACCAAGGAGGCCUUCUUUUCAGCCCUAAACGUCAUGGAGUCGGCCUCCUUCCAUUGCAUCCAGCAUAAUAAGAUUUGCUAUGUCACUAACGGGGGGCCAACCCAAAAUAAGUUUUCAAGAAUGCAUUAAUAUAAAUAAAAGGUCAUAUUCUUAAUA